AGAGCGAACGCUGGCGGCAGGCUUAACACAUGCAAGUCGAGCGGCCGUAGCAAUACGGCAGCGGCAGACGGGAGAGUAACACGUGGGAACGCGCCCUUCGGUUCGGAAUAACUCAGGGAAACUUGGGCUAAUACCGGAUACGCCCUUACGGGGAAAGAUUUAUUGCCGAAGGAACGGCCCGCGUCCGAUUAGCUUGUUGGUGAGGUAACGGCUCACCAAGGCGACGAUCGGUAGCUGGUCUGAGAGGAUGACCAGCCUCACUGGGACUGAGACACGGCCCAGACUCCUACGGGAGGCAGCAGUGGGGAAUAUUGGACAAUGGGCGCAAGCCUGAUCCAGCCAUGCCGCGUGGGUGAUGAAGGCCCUAGGGUUGUAAAGCCCUUUCGGCGGGGAAGAUAAUGACGGUACCCGCAGAAGAAGCCCCGGCUAACUUCGCGCCAGCAGCCGC
RNAcentral lists this ribosomal RNA (448 nucleotides) under uncultured bacterium. RNAcentral describes it as "SSU rRNA". It matches the Rfam family "Bacterial small subunit ribosomal RNA", at positions 26 to 518 of the family's 1533-position model. The record is from RNAcentral.